UAGCACAGUGGUUGAGCGCUUGGCUUCUAACCAAAAUGUUGGUGGUUAGAACCCACU
RNAcentral lists this transfer RNA (57 nucleotides) under Loxodonta africana (African savanna elephant). It matches the Rfam family "tRNA", at positions 8 to 63 of the family's 71-position model. From Rfam's summary of the family: Transfer RNA (tRNA) molecules are approximately 80 nucleotides in length. The record is from Rfam by way of RNAcentral. Lineage: Eukaryota; Metazoa; Chordata; Mammalia; Proboscidea; Elephantidae.